Molecule: ribosomal RNA, 448 nt
Filed under: uncultured bacterium
Lineage: Bacteria
Description: partial 16S ribosomal RNA
Rfam family: Bacterial small subunit ribosomal RNA
Source: RNAcentral
CUUACGGGGGGCUGCAGUGGGGAAUUUUGGACAAUGGGGGCAACCCUGAUCCAGCCAUUCCGCGUGAGUGAAGAAGGCCUUCGGGUUGUAAAGCUCUUUCGGCCGGGAAGAAAUCGCAUCUCCUAAUACGGGGUGUGGAUGACGGUACCGGAAGAAGAAGCACCGGCUAACUACGUGCCAGCAGCCGCGGUAAUACGUAGGGUGCGAGGGUUAAUCGGAAUUACUGGGCGGAAAGCGAAGACAGGCGGGAAAUCCCCGGGCUUAACCGGGGAACUGCGUUUGUGACUGGUGGGCUUGAGUGCGGCAGAGGGGGGUGGAAUUCCACGUGUAGCAGUGAAAUGCGUAGAGAUGUGGAGGAACACCGAUGGCGAAGGCAGCCCCCUGGGUCGACACUGACGCUCAUGCACGAAAGCGUGGGGAGCAAACAGGAUUAGAUACCCCUGUAGUC